CCAAUAGCGUAUAUUAAAGUUGUUGCAGUUAAAAAGCUCGUAGUUGAAUUUCGGGGUUCUACCGUUGGUCGGGCUUUGUCUGUACUGGCGUGUAGAAUUUCUACCUUCUGGGGAACCAUCAUGUUAUUAAUUUAACGUGGUGGGAAACCAGGACCUUUACCUUGAAAAAAUUAGAGUGUUCAAAGCAGGCUUAUGUCUGAAUACAUUAGCAUGGAAUAAUAAAAUAGGACGGUGGUCCUGUUUUGUUGGUUUCUGAAUCACCGUAAUGAUUAAUAGGGAUGGUUGGGGGCAUUAGUAUUCAAUUGUCAGAGGUGAAAUUCUUGGAUUUAUUGAAGACUAACGUCUGCGAAAGCAUUUGCCAAGGAUGUUUUCAUUAAUCAAGAACGAAAGUUAGGGGAUCGAAGACGAUCAGAUACCGUCGUAGUCUUAACCAUAAACUAUGCCGACUAGGGAUCGGACGAUGUUAAUUUUUCUUGACUCGUUCGGCGCCUUACG
This 495-nucleotide ribosomal RNA is filed under the name uncultured Glomeromycotina. RNAcentral describes it as "partial small subunit ribosomal RNA". It matches the Rfam family "Eukaryotic small subunit ribosomal RNA", at positions 591 to 1092 of the family's 1831-position model. Lineage: Eukaryota; Fungi; Glomeromycota. The record is from RNAcentral.